Molecule: long non-coding RNA, 13524 nt
Filed under: Coffea arabica (coffee)
Lineage: Eukaryota; Viridiplantae; Streptophyta; Magnoliopsida; Gentianales; Rubiaceae
Description: long non-coding RNA (CARA_LNC003665)
Source: RNAcentral
AGUGCUCCUUUCUCUUGGUGGAGGUGGUGCCGGGGCAGGGAGAGGGCCAAUCCUGGCUUCUCCCGAGGAUGCUCGCGAUGUUGCAGCCUACCUCUGGAACAAUUACUUGGGCGGUCAAUCAGACUCUCGCCCACUUGGUGCUGCUGUUUUAGAUGGUAUAGACUUUGACAUCGAAUAUGGAUCGAACCUGUACUGGGAUGAUCUCGCCCGGGCACUCUCGGGAUACAGCACAGCAGAGAGAAAGGUGUACUUAUCUGCAGCACCACAAUGCUUCUUUCCUGACUAUUAUCUUGAUGCUGCUAUCAGAACUGGCCUCUUUGAUUUCGUCUGGGUGCAGUUUUACAACAAUCCGCUUUGUCAGUAUGGUACAACCACAGGCAAUGCCGAUAACCUCUUGAACAGUUGGAGUAUUUGGUCUGCCUCUUCAGGCGUUAAUAAAUUAUUCCUGGGAUUACCUGCAGCCGAAGCGGCCGCACCUGGUGGCGGUUACAUCCCACCUGAAGUGCUAGUUGAACAGAUUCUUCCCGUUGUGCAGAGCUAUCCCAAGUAUGGAGGGGUCAUGCUUUGGAGCAGAUACUAUGACCAAAACUACAGUACAGCAAUCAGGCCUUAUGUUAACGGUGAUCCUCUGACUUAUACAACCAAGUCCGUGAAAAAAUCCCAUGCUGUAGCAUGAGUUCCUCUCAUUAUCUGCCGCGAGAUGAAAUGUAGUCCUGGCUGCUUAUGCCAGAGAUCAAUCUACUAAUGAAUAAUGGGCUAUGAGUUCCCAAAUCGAUUAAAAUGUUCAGUAAAUUUCUUCCCGUUUUAACCGCGCUCUCUCUCUCGAAUGAAGGGGUACAAGAUCUAGUUUGAAGAACCAGUUGCACCUUCUCUUUUUUUUAUUUUUUAUACAACAUCUUCUAGAUAAUAAUUUUUCGAUAAUAUUCAAACCACAUUGAAAUUGAAAAAGAAAAUGUUAAUUUGCAAUUGAAGUUUGAGGAACAGUAUCUAUUUCCCCUCAUAUUUCAAUGCAAGUCACUUUGAGACUUAUGACAAUUUCACUAACCUCCCAUCAAAUCUGAAAAACAACGAUUACCUCCCCUCUUCUUAGAUUUGGUCUGAUGAUUUCAGUGUAUUUGGUAUACAUUCCUACAACAAAGGGAUAACAAUCGAAGGGCUUUCGUUUUUAUUAAUUUUUUGGAGUACAAAUUAAUUUCUCAUUAGCAUGUUAUGAAACAUAUGAUAUUCUUGUUCUCAACAAUUUCUUUCUACUAAAAAAUGAAUAGAGAGAAGGGGGAAAAAAGUAAGCCUCAGCUGAUUAAAUUAUGUCCACGCAUAAAUUGUCACAAAGGUUUCUUAAGGGAAAAAGGGUUGGGGGUGGGGGCGGGGGUUCCCUGGGUUAAUUUAACCAAAAUUGAUUAAAGUAAUGAGGUUGGCUUGAUUAAAUUAUGUUUAUCACAAUUGGGUCAUUUCUUAAAAUAUUGACCUUAACAAAGAUGAUCCAUUUCUUGAAAAUGGGCUUUCCUAGAAAAUUUGCGUUCUAGAAAAGCCAUUCUUGGGCAGAUGAUGAAUAAGACUUCGUAUUUUGGGCUGAAUGAAAUGGAUGACACGCCAAAUUUGAUUAUUUAGCCACCGAAUAAAUAUGUUGGGUUUUAUAAAUCACUAUAAGUAAUGGUGUCUUAACUUUGGUUAAUUAGUUAAUUUAGAACACGCAUGGUGAAAUUGGGCUGACAAAGAAAAUAUUAAAGGAUGAUAACGUUUAUAGUGAGCCAAGUACAAUUAUUAUGAAACAAAAUGCCUCACAUUCACAAAUCCCUCAAAUGCUAUCUUUCAAUGCCAAUAAACUACUGGUAUCCAACUCCAAGAUCGCUCCAAAAUUCUAGCCCAAUCAGACACUGUUCCCUUGUUCACAAAAUAAACUUUUACCUCUCUAUGAUUUGUUGCUUUACCACGUGAUUUCCUUAUUAGUUUAAAAACUCAUAUAUACCACAUGACCCCUUAUUGUUUAAAAACCUAUAUAUAAUUCCUUCAUGGUUUGGGUUAAAGUGUUACCAUUGAUUUUUUUCAUUAAAACUAAUGGUCAAUAGUAAAGCGUUAAAAUUAAACUAAUAAAUUGACAAAUUCACUCUUUCACUAUUUUUUUUCCAUUUUCUUUCUUUUUUUUGGUGGAAGAGAAGAGAUGAUUUGGAAACAUAUACUUUGGCCUAUAAAACCUUAAUUUUCUCCAAUUACAAAAGAGAUGGGAGGGAAAUAAAAAAGUAAAUGAGUAAGAAACAAAAAAGAUGGAAGGGAAAUAUAAAACAAAUAAAUAAGAAACAAAAAAUAUCAAAUCUUUUUUUAUCACUAAUAUCAUUACAGAUUUUUAAACCAAAUCUUUGAUGGUAUUUUCUUAUUCUUAUUUAUCUAUUUUUUAUUUUAAUUUCUUCUUUUUUAUGUUUAGAGGGGUAUAAAAGGAAUUAAUGAAAGGGUAAAUUUCUUAAUUUAUUAGUUUAAUUUUGACUUUUACUAUUAACCAUUUGUUUUAAUGAAAAAACUAACAGUCACAUAUUAUCUAAAAUCAUGAGAGGGUUAUAUACAAGUUUUCAAAUCAUAUGGGGUUUACGUGGUAAAGUACCAAACUACAAGGGGUAAAAGGUAAUUUAUCCUUUUUCCAAAUCAGCCCAACAUUUUAAAUUGCCAAACAUUUGCCACUGCUCAAUUGCAUCACUUGCAACAGAAUUUUUUGAAAUUAUCAAAAUACUUGUUUUCUAUCAUCACCAAAUUCAUCCAAACUCACAAAAUUUAUAAAAUAAAAAUCCCAUACAUGUUUAAUCCUUGACAAAUAGCAAUCCAAACAAGGUAACAAGUUUAUGUUCAAUUCUUGAUAAAUAUCAAUCUAAAUAAAGUAACAUGUUCAAUUUCUAAACCAAAGUACUAUCUAAGCCAUUAUUCACCUUCAUCUUCAUUAUCCGUAUCUCCGAUUUCUUAACUUUCAAAAUCGAUAUCAUCAAGAUCAUCCUCAUCAUCAAGUUGCACAAUAUUUGUGUCGUUCUUACCUAAAAAUCAUUUAAAUACUCAUAAAUAAAAAUAUUCAAAAAUAGACAAGAACUAAAAAGAAACUUAGAUAAAGUUAGCAAAUGCAUUCCAAAAUUCAUCUAUGUAGCUAAUAAUGGUCCAUUGAUUACAUGCUUGGCAACCUGAAUCUUGAUUGGAGGCAUUCAAAGCUCAAGUAAUUGAUAUUAAAUACAUUUUAAAAGCAUAUAAUGCUUUCCUUGACUAUCAUUUUAAAAGAAUUGCCCAAACUCCAUUUAUUAGUCAUACGAGUUUUCCCAUCUUCUAAUCUACUAUUUUCACUUGUCAUCUGAUCAUAUUAUAGGUUAAGCCCAUCUUCCGGAUUUCCAUGAAUACAAUGGUCUAAAAUCAAAGCAUCCCAGGAAACUAAACUCUUCAUCGGCAUCCUUCCACAUCUAUUAUACAUAUCAAUUAAGGACGACGUGUUAACAAUCAAACUCAAAUUUCCAGAUUCUGUAAUAAGAGUUCCGUGAAUUGAUUUUCCUUGUUUCAAUCUGGCAGACCUACCACAAGCAGUAAGCACAUUCACCAUAAUUGUUUCAUUGCCUUAAAUCCGAGCUUCACCAUUUCCCUGAAUAACUUCAACCCAUUUCCAGGAUUCCCCAGAUCCAAAUAACCUGUCCUCAUUAUAUUCCAUGAAACAAUAUAUUCCACAAAACAACACCACAGUUUGUUUUCUCUAAAUCAACAGAUACCAUUUUUUUUCUAGUGUCAUUUUGAGUUUAUCAACAACUUGUCUCUUUAAAUAAAAAAAUUAAAAACACCACUACCAACUGAAAAACUUUAUUCACACCCGUAACAUCCAAAUCCCAAAUACCCAGCAUAAUGAAUCAAAAAAAAAAAAUACUGAAAUUUCAGUCUGAUUGUUCCAAAUCUCAUCACAAAGAGUAGCAAAAAGCUCCGAAUCCUCACUUGAAAAGACUUCACAAAAUUGAAAGAUGAUCACCAACUGAAUAAGUAUUUUCAUCAAUGUGAUACCUUAAGUUUCAAAUAGUGGUAUUAAAGGUUUUAGGAUUUAAGAAGCGUGGAGAGAGAAGGAUAAAAUGAGAUGUGAAUUAUAUAGACAAGUUACAUGUCAAACUAGGAAUUGUAAUUAAAAAAACAAAUUGAAAAAGCUUAUUAUUUAUUUUUCUUAUUCUUUUUGCUUUAAAAUGUGGGUUUUAUAUGAAAUUUUUGUCAGUCAAGUACUAUUACCACAUUUGAAUUGUAUUCAAUUGAUAAUAAUAAACUAAAUUAAUAUUCUAAUGUAAAGGACUAAAGUGAUAAAGUUAAAAGUUAAAGGUCUAAAUAGAUAUUUUGAUAAAAGUUUGAGGACUUCUAAUAUACUGUGACUUAUCUGAAUUUAUAUCAAUGGGAUUAGAGUUCUGUUUGCAUGUCAACAAAACAUUUUUCCAAAAUGAAAAUUAUGUGAGGCCUCUACAGUGGAAAGUCAAGCAAUUAAGAAUACUUUUGUUACUACUUUGUAUCAUCUAUUUUUCCCCCCUUGAAUAAGUUCUUUGCAUUCUUGUUGUUAUUGAAGAAGAUGAAACUAGUUAGCUAAAUUAAAAAAUAAAUUUUGGCUUCAAAUUUAAGGUACCAGUUAAAUAGAGCAUAGAUUUUGUCAAAGAGUAACAUUAUACAAUAUUGUUGAAUUCAGACACUUAUCGGAUCGGCCAGACCAUUCUAAAAAAUUCUCUGAAGUUAGCAUGAUGUCAUAAUUAUUUUAUAUUUUUAUAAGUUUUAGAAAUAUUGAAAUUAAAUUUUUUGUUAUACUUGGCCAACCAUAAAAAUGUUACAAAAAUAUUAGGCUUGUAAUCAAAUAUACAACUAAAAAUUAUAUAUAAAUAUAUGAAUUCGUGUCUAAAAUAUUUCCAUUCUCUAAAAUUACUUAAAAACUAAAUUAAAACAAAUCAUACCCAAUUCGAGAUCUUUUUGCUUGGAAUAUGACUUUAUAAUACAGGAAUCACUAAUGAUAAAUUGAUAAGAUGAUAAGGAUGAAAACUUCUUCAUUUAGAGAUCAUUGAGGGAAGCGAGUGAUUUUAAUGUUUAUACUAAGUUAGUGGCAUUUUCUUAUUUCUAUUAAUAAAUAAAAGUUUUACACUUUAAGUAACUCAAAUUAUGUUUCAGGGGAACAAGAGAGAAAAGUUUGAGAAUUGAGUCAAAUAGUUGAAUCGAAUCACUAGUUUGGCUGAUUUUGAUAGUUUUGAUUAAUUUUUGACUAAAAUGAUUUUGUGCUACUAACUACCUUCGGAAAAAAGUAGAUUCAUAUUCAGACUGAUCGGUUUGGUUUGGGACAACACUGACAUUAUAUGGAUAAAGCAUUUGUGAACAAACUUAUACCAAGACUAGUUGUUAGUUCAAGAGAGUUGGGACUGAUAAAUUUUCAACAAGUCUAUAAUUUGUGCAAAAAUUAAUUAUUCAAAGGGUAAUUACCAUUUCAACUUUUAUAAAAAAAAUGUCCAUGUUUAAGGAACAAUUGAAGGCACGUCAGUCAUCCAAUUAGUCUAAAGCUAAUAAUUAUAGAACAAACUACAUUGGCAUCGUAUUCUUGACGGGGAAAGAACCUCAGGGGCUGUCGAAGCUGGGGUUUCGAUCGUAGAGCUGGUUCUUAAGUGCGACAUCGACGACUAUAUUUAAUAGUCAAUGAAAUAACCGCAACCUAUUUUCCAAGUUUGAGAAAAAGAAAUCAAUAAAUUUUGUUAGGGCAAGCAAUAAAAAAAUAAAAAAAGAUUUAAUACGCUUUUCUAAGAUAUUUAUUAUUCAAUUCUUUAGCAUACAUAUAUUGUAAUUUUGAUAUAAUUGUAUCUCAUUUCAUCUUAAAGCUUUUAAAUUUUAAGAAACCAUCUUAACUGAAACUUCAACAUUAUGAUCAACAAGGCCAAGUCAAAACUUCACCAUUUUGAUCAAGUCAUAAUGAUCAACUAUGCCAAGUUGCAGCAAUUUGAUUUUGAACUUCGCCACCCUGAUUUUUUGUCAAUUAUCCUAAGGGUAUGUUUGGUUCCCUAUGUAAUUGGGAUUUAGAAUUAGAAUUGGGGCUCCAAUUCUAAUUCUGUUGUUUGGAUUCUGCUUCACUUGAAGAAUAAGAAUUCAAUCUGAAUUCUAUAGGGGUCCAAUUCCAUAAAUUGAAUUCUUUAUUGGACCAAAAGAAUCCUAAUUCCAAUUCCACAACUAAACCCUAAGAAACGGAUCUACACGCAGAUCUAAUAUGGGUAAAAAAUUAAAAGCGGGUCAAGUAUUCAAGCAUCUCUCUCUCCCAUUCUACUCACAAUGGAUCUUCUAUCCCACACCCUGUGUUGGAUCUUAAGGAAACAAAAAAGAACUAAAAUAUGAUAUUUAUGAAGGAGAAAUAGUAAUCUAUAUCUAUAUAAAUUUGAGAAGGGAUUUUUAGCAACAAGCCUCAUAUAUCUUCCCAUUACCAAUUCCAUUUUUCUAGCAUUUCACAUUUAAUUUAAUUUAUAAAAUAUAUUUCUCUCAACUUCCACAUCUACUCUUCACAUUUGAAAUUAUUGGUUAGUUUUUAAAAUCAUUUCAUUUCAAAUUGUUGAUUGAUGUGCAUGUUAUCUUAUUUGAACUUCAACCCAUCACGUUUUCGAUUGCCUUGCGUUAUUUAUGGUUCUAUAGCAAUUAAAACUUCUAUAAGAUCAUAAGAAGAGAUAACAAAUAUAACAUCCUUUCAUGCUUUCUUAUUAAUUUAAAUAAGUAAGAUUGUUUACACUCCAUUUUUGUUAUUCACACUUCAAUAAUCAUUUUGAUCAUAUCAUUUUCAGUAAUUAGACUAUAUGAUAAAACAAAUGGUGGAAUUGCAAAUAAUAAAAAAUUGAGUGCAAAUAACAUUUUCUUAAGUAAGAAGUGGCUUACAUGCCUUUCUAAUUAAAAAAGUAGUGGCUCCGCUUACAUAGGAAUUUGGUUUGAAGUUUAUUAGUAGGAGGGUAAAUAAAAAGAAAACAUUGCCAAACUUAGUAAAAGUAAAAAAGUAAAUGAUAAUAUUUUAUCUUUAAACUUAGUAAUCCUAAGUAAAAGGGCAAAAUUAAAUAGAAAACAAAAAGGAAAUAAUGUCGUGGAUUUAAAAAAUCAAGAAUGGUACCAUUCAUGAAAUCCAUAUUAUGAAAUCACUAAAUAAAAAAUAAAGUACUACUAGCCUUUUAACGUGGAAACUUUUUUUUUGAAAUAUUCAUUUUUGAUAAAAAAUAAUGAUAAUAACAACACCAAUUCAACCAAAAAUUUUUUAAAAAGUAAUAUUAUAGUUUAAGAGAAAGAUAUAGAACAUUCAACCCUAAAAUACUACUUAAUUUGUAUAUAUCUGGCCCAAAUUUGACAAUAAAUUUGAAUAAGAGUGCAAAACCCAAACAUUAAGGAUAACUUUUGCUAUCAUUAAUUAUUUUAUGUAUUCUUAUUGCUGUCUUCAUAUGUAAAUAUGUAUUUGGUAUGUUAAUAUAUAUAUAUAUAUAUAUAUAUAUAUUGAUUGUAGUACUUGAGGAUAUUAUAGAUAUUAUCAGUUUUUCAUUUCCAUUUUUAGAUACUAAUAAUUGCAACCAUUGUAAUUAAUUUUUAAUUUUAUAUUUUCAUUAUGAUAGGUAAAGUUAAAUAUAUUGGGUCGCAGGGAUAUGAAUUUAGAGCUUAGGUAUAGGGGGAGGAGCGAGGGAAAAAAAUGGUGAGAUGUUGAAAAGUAGCAGGAAAGGUUGAAGAAGAAAUAAGGGUUACAAGGAUAGGCGGAGAAGGGAGAGAAGAAGAAAGGGGAUUGUAGGGAUAUGACAGAGAUGACAAAAAUAAUAAUAAUAAUAAUAGAGAGGGUGGUAUCAUGAUAGAAGAUAUGAAAGUGGUAGGAGGCAUCUGAUGACUAGUUGGCGUAUAAGAGAAGAGGGAAAUGAUGGUGAUUUUUAAUAAUUUUGAGAACUUUAAAAACAUAUAUUACGGAGAAUUUUUUUAAAUUAUACAUUAAAGUUUAGGAAAAAUGCUAAUCUAAAUGUAGUCAACAAUUUUAGGGGUACAAGAUACAAGAAAGAUUUUUUUUUCUAAAAAUGGAAGAAAAUAAAUUGGUUAUAAUUUAUUUUUUUUAUAUUAUAAGUUUUGAUAUAUGGGUAUAACAUAAUAUGUUUUGUCGGAUAUUGAUAAAUUGAUUCUUUUUUAUAAAACUCUUUUCACCUUACCACCCAACCUAACCCUCUCCUUAAAUGCGUUAACAAUUCUUUUAUCAUUUAAAUCAUUAUAUAUUAAAUUUUUUUUCAAGAUAUUAAGCAUACACUUCUUUAAAAUUUUUAGUCUAUAUAUAUAUACUUAUUAUUUUGUACCACAAUAUAAAUAUAUAAAAUAUUAUUUUGAUUUAAAAUAUAACCCCGUGCAUAGCACGGGUCAAAAUACUAGUAUAAUAAAAAGUGGGAUAGAGAGUUGCACAGGGUGUGAGACAGAAGAUUUGUUGCGCAUUCUAAUUCACCAUUUUUUCUCAGCUGCAAGUGCUCCUGCUCUCCACCAUCGCUUCUACCUCCGCCCUAACAUUUUGCCGCUUUCGCCACCGUUUCCCCCAUCGCUCUUCGUUUCAGCCAUCCCUCUUCCCUUCGCCACUCCUGCCAUGCAUCCACCCAUCACCUUGCCAAUCGCAAGACUAAUCCGAGUGCUCUCUCCUUCCCCCUGCUUAAUUUUCUUGAACUGGGUUCUUCAGUCUUGAAGGUAAUAUCUCCUAAGAAUUUGCACUGAAAUUUGACGUUUUCUUACAAAGCACUGCCUAACUCUUGAGUGCCAGAUAUUAAUUCUAGUAAUGGUUCUUGACUUUGGUUUUACAGCCCAGCAAUGGCUCAGAACCUACAGUUGGAAAGACCCUUCUUGAGGACACAGGUCUAUUUUUUUACAGAAACCUGGUACUUGAUUGGUGUAUGAGCUCUUUUAGCAUUUUCUCUGCUGUUCAAUAUUCUUUUUGUUGAAGUAUUGACAUUUUUAAAGCGUAAGCCCCACGUACAACCUUGUUAUCAUGCAAUUUUGGUUUCUAAUAUACUAUAUAGUAAAGAAGUCCAUGUCUUAAUUCCGUGGUGUCAACUUAACGUCAGCUCUAGGAGAUAAUAAAGCUGUUAUUCUUGAGGAUGAUGAGCAAAACAUGGAUAGACGGCAAGUUGCAUCACAUCCUGGAGGUUUGUGGUCUAUUCAACUCCAGCUUUUUGCAUAUGCAACUCAAAGAUAAAUACUCUGUGUCCCUUGAUAAAAUGAGUUCAGACUUUCGACAAGGUUUGAAACGUGAUAUAUACAUUUUCCCAAAAUCCAAUAUAAAGUUUAGUACUCAAUUAGCACUUAAAUUUAAUGGAUUCUAAAAGCACAAAAGGAGGAAGAAAUAAAGAAUCUAAAAUGCACAAAAGGAGGGGGAAAAUGGAUGGAGAAAGAAUCUACCGACAGAAAGAAAAUGGAGUAAAGAAAAUUGAGGUUAUUGACAUUCAACAAGGGAACUUAUUUCAUCCUAAAGCUGCAUUCCGGUGAUUUAAUUACUACUACUGCUGAAGUCUUUAGUAGUGGAUCGAUGCAAUUUUAGUCAAGUAAAUGAACUUGUAUUUGUCACGGUUGAUGGAUUCAAAUAAGCUGUGGUGUGAUUGUUCUCAACAAGACCACAAUUUCUUCUUUGCAUACUCAACCACAUGCACAUGAUUACUUUUGGGCAUAACUUUUAACAACAAUCAACUAACAUAUAAAAGGGAAUUAGUCAAUUGCUUAUGGAAUCAAGUUGAUUGCUGACACAUUUUCCUUUUCUAUGAUAAAGCUUAAAAUCAUUACUCUCUAACUUAUGUUAACAAUAUGGUGGUUUAAUAUGAUGGCCACAGUCAAUUGCUUAAAAGUUUCAGGUUUUUAUUCUUGUUCACACAUAUCUAGUAUGGCUAAAUCUAAAUCUAAAUCCUCAUUUCUAAGUAAUUUAUGUGGUAAACAGAAAGGUUUAACAAUAUAGAUGGGCUAAAAUAUCUUUGACUCAAGUUGAUCGUUGACUCAACUAAGCAAAGAAUCAACUCUGUUCUAUGUAUCCUAGCUAUGAGAUCUACAGCUUCAACAAAUUGAACCUGGUCAACUUAAAGCACCUUAGCACUUUCUACCGUGAUUGUAGGACUAACAUGUUUUGUUUAAGAAUAGCCUCCAAAAGCUUGGCCGUUAGUCGAACCAGUUUACCUGCUGUUAAUGUAGUUUUUCAAGCAGGGAUCAACAAUUACAUGCUUUAGUUUUCUUUUAACAAAAAAGAAAGAUUUUAAUGUUUGAGCCAUAAGUGAUUUAAUCACAUGUUAGUGCAUUACUAAUCCAAUUAGUGACCUCUGGUUUUAGUUUUUUGAUGCCACAACAUAGUUAUUAUAUUAAAAAAGAGCCCUUAUGAUAAAUAUCACCUAACACAUAUAUUUUGACACAAUAUGUCUUGAUCGUAGGUGCACCACUAACUUUAUUAAGUAUGCUACAAGUGAGUAAUAUUAUAAACUAGAAAUUGAUGAUGAUCAGUCAAUAAGUCUGUCAUUAAGUCUAUAACAUGAAUCUUAUUGUUAGUCACCGUUUACUUACUAUCUAUGAUAACUAUCCUAUUUUGUUUAAAUUGAUCUAUAGCUAUAGCUAAGUUGUGCUGAAACUAGUUAGAAUGAUUAUGGACCUAUAAUAUAAUUUCAUGUGGACACAACAAUAACCCGCUUAUUUCUAUACUAUUAGUCUAUUCUUGUCUAGCUUGAAAAUCAUCUUAUACAUGUAAUUAUCACUAAUUACUAGUUUAUAAACCGAUCAACUUGUCAACAUAAACCCUGAUCUUGUUGGUAUCAAUUUGCAGGAACCAGUCAUGGACUAAAAGCCGCUUCAAAUUGCUUUAUGUUUUCUUGGUGAUUAAUAUGAUAUUCAUCCAUUUCUUUGAAAAAAAGAAAAGUUAUCCAUUUCGUACUAAUACUUGAUAUGGUGAUUCUGAAUUGCAGAAUUUGGAUAUUGACAUGGAUAAAGAAGGAGAUGAGUAAAAAGCAAAAAAGAGAGAAGUGAUAGUUGCAAAUUAUAUGAUAACAGUAACCGCAUUAGUAGUUUGGUGGCAUGAGAAACAUAUAGUAAAGAAGCCUUAUUUUGACUUUAAAGUAGCACCUGAAAUAUAUCAAAUGCGUCUUUACUAUGGAAACAGCAGAGUUUGUGUAGAACAACUUCGACUCAAUAAUUGUUUUACUGUUUUAUGUACAAAUUUAAGAGAGCAUUGUGGGUUGAGGGAUACUAGAAAUAUUAUUGUUGAAGAAGUAGUUGCAAUAUUUCUCUAUGUUCUUGCUCAUAACUUUAAGAAUCGCAUUGUCAAUUUUAAUUUCAUAAGAUCAGGUGAGACAGUUAGUCAAUACUUUAAUAUAGUUCUUAACUUUAAAAAAAGUAUCAAGGCUUUAACUUGAUAAAUAUUAACUACUUUUUAAGUUAGAAUAUAUAAUUAUUUUUUAUUUAAUAUAAUUUAAUUAAGAAAAAAGAAACAAGAAUAAUAUUUUUUUUUGCAGAAAAGGAACUAAUUUUUUUUUCUAAUUAUUUUUUAAAGCUUUAGUAACAAUUAGUUAAAUGCAAGAAAAAAUAAAUUAUUAAAGGCAUUAAUUGGUUUUUUCCUUAAAGCUUUAGUAACAAUUACCUAUAUGUUAAAAAAUUAUUAUAUAGUAAAAAAAAAAGAAAUUUUUUAUGAAAGGAAAUGUUAGUUGGAAACAAUUCUAAUUCUUAACGAAUUCUUCUCCCAUCCAAAUAAAGAAUUUGAAAUUCUGAAUGAAUUCUGUAUCAAUGUUAUGCAUUUCCCAAACAAAAGAAUUCCAAUAUUUUGGAAUUCCAAUUCUGUAGAACCAAACGUACCCUAAAUUUACACAAAAUUCGUAGCAUCGGGGACCACAUUUGCAAAAGUCAAAAGUUUGGGGACUACAUAAGUUAUAAAAUGGAUCGAUUAUAGCGUAAUUUCCAGCAACAUGGGGGUCUUUUGUUUUGUUGGGUGUAGUCCAUUGGGUUGCCCGUGAACCGCGUGGGAAAUUGUUCAAUUAUUUAACCUUUGCAAAUUGGUGGGUGCCCCGCCACCUCUUUCAAUUUUUUUUUUUUAAUAUAAGUAGGAUCCGAAUCUCUAAUUUACAGCUCAAAAGAGAGACUUUAAUCUUUUUUAAAUGGCCACUACCUUUGCAAGUUGGCAAGCUAUCCUGUUUACAUAAAGGUUGGGAUUUUACUGUGGAAUAUGUGUUGGCAGAUCCAGGCGUGAAUAAGUUAUUUAACAGCUGAAUAUUGGAAGAUAACAUUACAAUAGUCAAAAAAAAAUUUACUGCUAUUGUCUAUUGUGCAUCAUCCUGGAAAAUUCAAGCAACUAUUUUAGAAAAUGACUCUCAUAAUUAUGGUCAAGCCAAUCCAACAGUGCUACCAAGCUCGAAAAUACAGCAAAAGGUAAAAUGCUUUGAAACCGGAUCGACAAGUGAAUUGGAUGAGCUUCCUAUUUAUGGCUCAAUCAAUUCAACCUGUUAAACUCCGAUUUAAUGAUUUUAUAAAAUUUUAAUUAUAUUAACGUUAAAUAAUUUGAAUAACAUUAAUGUAUAAAAAAUAAUGAAAAAUCGGUCCAAAGGCCGGUUUUUUAACUGAUCCAAUAGUGCUCCCAAGCUUGAAAAUAUAGCAAAAGGCAAUAUUUUGAAAUUGGGGCCUACAAGUGAACUGGAUGAAUUUUUUAUUCAAUUAAUUUUGCGGUUCAAUCUCUGUUUAGUGAUUUUAUUAUUUUUUUGUUUAUUUUAAAAUUAAAUUUUUUGGAUAAAAUUAAUAUAUGAGCUAGAAAUAAAAUUUUUGUGUAAAACCAGUUCAAAGACCUUUUUUUUUCUUAUCGAUUUUGAUUCAUCUGAUCGAAUUUGAUUGAUUCAAUUGAGUUUCUGGGUUAAAUAUAGAAAAACAAAUUAUUCGGGAAAUCACUAAACCUUUUUAAUAGUCAAGAUUUAGCCACUCAAUUAUUAAUAGUAUGUUGUUUUCCAUUAAACUAUUAAUAAUAUCAAUUUUGUGCCAUUUCAUCUAAUUUCACUAUUGACUCUGUUAGAUCUAAGGGUCUACACAAGAUAUAUUAGUAAUGGUUAAAUCUGGUAGAGUUAAUGACAAAUUAGAUGGAAUGACCUAAAAUUUAAAUUUUUAAUAGUUUAGUGGGUAAAAACUUAGCUGGCCACUGUAUCCCGAGCCCAUGCACCUUCCUGAGUUCUGAGAUAGAGGUUUGGAGGGGGUGCCUAGGCAUCAAAGUGCUCCUUUCUCUUGGUGGAGGGGGUGCCGGGGCAGGGAGAGGACCAAUCCUGGCUUCUCCCGAGGAUGCUCGCGACGUUGCAGCCUACCUCUGGAACAAUUAUUUGGGCGGUCAAUCAAACUCUCGUCCAUUUGGUGAUGCUGUUUUAGAUGGUAUAGAUUUUGACAUCGAAUAUGGAUCGAACCUGUACUGGGAUGAUCUUGCCCGGGACCUCUCGGGAUACAGCAUAGCAGAGAGAAAGGUGUACUUAUCUGCAGCACGACAAUGCUUCUUUCCUGACUAUUAUCUUGAUGCUGCUAUCAGAACUGGCCUCUUUGAUUUCGUCUGGG